This 278-nucleotide ribosomal RNA is filed under the name uncultured prokaryote. RNAcentral's name for it is "partial 16S ribosomal RNA". It matches the Rfam family "Bacterial small subunit ribosomal RNA", at positions 524 to 801 of the family's 1533-position model. The record is from RNAcentral.
UACGUAGGUGGCAAGCGUUGUCCGGAUUUAUUGGGUGUAAAGGGAGCGCAGACGGCUGUGCAAGUCUGAAGUGAAAACCUUGGGCUCAACCGAAGGAUUGCUUUGGAAACUGUAUAGCUUGAGUACCGGAGGGGUAAGCGGAAUUCCUGGUGUAGCGGUGAAAUGCGUAGAUAUCAGGAGGAACACCGGUGGCGAAGGCGGCUUACUGGACGGCAACUGACGUUGAGGCUCGAAAGCGUGGGGAGCAAACAGGAUUAGAUACCCCGGUAGUCCCUGAG